This is a long non-coding RNA of Anguilla anguilla (European eel), 389 nucleotides long. RefSeq lists it as uncharacterized. NCBI's taxonomy places the organism in Eukaryota, Metazoa, Chordata, Actinopteri, Anguilliformes, Anguillidae. The record is from RefSeq and is a predicted model, not a curated record. The transcript has 4 exons.
GUAGCCCUAUUGUCGUUUUCUCCCAUUAUCCCUCCCUAAUUAGUGGUAAACCUGGCUGGCGUAAGCUGAGGUGGCUCCUGAAGGUAGGUGGGAAGAUUCAAAGGACAGAGAAAACAAUCUGGUCCAAAACAAGAUUGGAGGUGGCAUUCCUUCCUCAAACUGCAAGUCAGUGCUUGGUGAAGCUGGGGCUAUUAAACAGCCUGAAGCUGAAGAGAGUGGAAGGAAGUGAUGUCAUCAGACAGAAGUGAUGCACUCAGUGGUGCUAGUGGCACACAGCCCGCAGUCACACCUCAGGGCCACUGGGUCUCACAGCGCCCCCAGCAGGCAUCGGUGGUGAUGUGCAUACCCCCGCAGCCCGGUUUGCGAGCCAGGAAGGUGAACUCCCUCAC